This 542-nucleotide ribosomal RNA is filed under the name uncultured bacterium. RNAcentral describes it as "bacterial SSU rRNA". It matches the Rfam family "Bacterial small subunit ribosomal RNA", at positions 356 to 896 of the family's 1533-position model. The record is from RNAcentral.
GGGGAAUAUUGCACAAUGGGCGAAAGCCUGAUGCAGCGACGCCGCGUGAGGGAUGGAGGCCUUCGGGUUGUAAACCUCUUUCGCUCAUGGUCAAGCCGCAACACAUGGUUGUGGUGAGGGUAGUGGGUAAAGAAGCGCCGGCUAACUACGUGCCAGCAGCCGCGGUAAUACGUAGGGCGCGAGCGUUGUCCGGAAUUAUUGGGCGUAAAGGGCUUGUAGGCGGUUGGUCGCGUCUGCCGUGAAAUCCUCUGGCUUAACUGGGGGCGUGCGGUGGGUACGGGCUGACUUGAGUGCGGUAGGGGAGACUGGAACUCCUGGUGUAGCGGUGGAAUGCGCAGAUAUCAGGAAGAACACCGGUGGCGAAGGCGGGUCUCUGGGCCGUUACUGACGCUGAGGAGCGAAAGCGUGGGGAGCGAACAGGAUUAGAUACCCUGGUAGUCCACGCUGUAAACGUUGGGCACUAGGUGUGGGGGCCACCCGUGGUUUCUGCACCGUAGCUAACGCUUUAAGUGCCCCGCCUGGGGAGUACGGCCGCAAGGCUA